CCUACGUGAGGCAGCAGUGAGGAAUAUUGGUCAAUGGGCGCGAGCCUGAACCAGCCAAGUAGCGUGAAGGAUGACUGCCCUACGGGUUAUAAACUUCUUUUAUAAAGGAAUAAAGUGAGGCACGUGUGCCUUUUUGUAUGUACUUUAUGAAUAGGGAUCGGCUAACUCCGUGCCAGCAGCCGCGGUAAUACGGAGGAUCCGAGCGUUAUCCGGAUUUAUUGGGUUUAAAGGGAGCGUAGAUGGGUUGUUAAGUCAGUUGUGAAAGUUUGCGGCUCAACCGUAAAAUUGCAAUUGAUACUGGCAGUCUUGAGUACAGUUGAGGUAGGCGGAAUUCGUGGUGUAGCGGUGAAAUGCUUAGAUAUCACGAAGAACUCCGAUUGCGAAGGCAGCUUACUAAACUGCCACUGACAUUGAUGCUCGAAAGUGUGGGUAUCAAACAGGAUUAGAUACCCCAGUAGUC
Molecule: ribosomal RNA, 460 nt
Filed under: uncultured bacterium
Lineage: Bacteria
Description: partial 16S ribosomal RNA
Rfam family: Bacterial small subunit ribosomal RNA
Source: RNAcentral